Molecule: unclassified non-coding RNA, 404 nt
Filed under: soil metagenome
Description: partial contains 5.8S ribosomal RNA, internal transcribed spacer 2, and large subunit ribosomal RNA
Rfam family: 5.8S ribosomal RNA (bases 1-119)
Source: RNAcentral
GAUGAAGAACGUAGUGAAUUGCGAUAUGUAAUGUGAAUUGCAGAAUUCAGUGAAUCAUCGAAUCUUGAACGCACAUUGCACCCUCUGGUAUUCCGGAGGGUAUGCCUGUUUGAGUGUCAUUAAUCUCUCAACACAGACAAGUUUGUGACUUGCUCUGUGCUGGAUGCUGAAGGCUGCCGGCAGAUAUGCUAGCUCCUUUUAAAUGCAUUAGCAGAAACUUAUGCAAAAGCUGGCUUCAGUUUGAUAAGCACUUUAUCAGUUUUGCUGUUGCUGGUCAAAUGCUCUUGUUUCAGCUUCCAAUUGUCCAUUUUAUGGGCUGUCUUCUCUAGGCAAUUCACUUUGACACUUGACCUCAAAUCAGGUAGGACUACCCGCUGAACUUAAGCAUAUCAAUAAGCGGAGGA